Molecule: ribosomal RNA, 482 nt
Filed under: uncultured bacterium
Lineage: Bacteria
Description: bacterial SSU rRNA
Rfam family: Bacterial small subunit ribosomal RNA
Source: RNAcentral
AAAUGAAUUGACGGGGGCUCGCACAAGCGGUGGAUCAUGUGGCUUAAUUCGUCGAUAAGCGAAGAACCUUACCAAGACUAGAAACUAUACUGCACGCCUAGGGAAACCUAGGAAGCCUUCGAGGGUGUAUAGCAGGUGAUGCAUGGCCGUCGUCAGUUCGUGGCUUGAGCUGUUCCCUUAAGUGGGGAAACGAACGCAACCCUCGUUGUGUGUUAUAAGUAUCACACGAGACUGCUCCCUCACGGGAGAGGAAGGUGAGGAUGACGCCAGGUCAGCAUGUCCCUUGAUGUCUUGGGCUGCACACGUGAUACAAUGGGUGGUACAACGGGACGCAAUACAGUAAUGUGGAGCAAAUCCUAAUAAAACCAUCCUCAGUUCGGAUUGAGGGCUGCAACUCGCCCUCAUGAAGCCGGAAUCGCUAGUAAUCGCGGAUCAGCAACGCCGCGGUGAAUACGUUCCCGAGCCUUGUACACACCGCCCGU